CCUACGGGGGGCAGCAGUGGGGGAUAUUGCACAAUGGGGGGAACCCUGAUGCAGCGACGCCGCGUGAGCGAUGGAGUACUUCGGUAUUUAAAGCUCUGUCAGCAGGGAAGAAAAUGACGGUACCUGACCAAGCAGCCCCGGCUAAAUACGUGCCAGCAGCCGCGGUAAUACGUAUGAGGCAAGCGUUAUCCGGAUUUACUGGGUGUAAAGGGAGCGUAGGCGGGAGGGCAAGCCUGAUGGGAAAGCCCGGGGCUCAACCCCGGGACUGCAUUGGGAACUGCUCUGCUGGAGUGUCGGAGGGGCAGGCGGAAUGCCUAGUGUAGCGGUGAAAUGCGUAGAUAUUAGGAAGAACACCAGUGGCGAAGGCGGCCUGCUGGACGGUGACUGACGCUGAGGCUCGAAAGCGUGGGGAGCAAACAGGAUUAGAUACCCGGGUAGUC
This 440-nucleotide ribosomal RNA is filed under the name uncultured bacterium. RNAcentral's name for it is "partial 16S ribosomal RNA". It matches the Rfam family "Bacterial small subunit ribosomal RNA", at positions 338 to 795 of the family's 1533-position model. The record is from RNAcentral.